Molecule: long non-coding RNA, 1329 nt
Filed under: Struthio camelus australis
Lineage: Eukaryota; Metazoa; Chordata; Aves; Struthioniformes; Struthionidae
Description: lncRNA (ENSSCUG00000003571.1)
Source: RNAcentral
AUUUUGCAUCAGAAUGUCGCACGGUGAGGCAGUCAGCGGGCAGCAGGCUGAGCGUGCGCUCAGGCUCUCGGCAGCUAGCAUUGCUGAAGAUGCAGGCUGCUGCGUUCCGGCUUCGCAGAGCUUUGUAAAGUUUCCCUGGAUGACCGCAAAGGUGAGUUUGUUAUCACCCAUCCCGUUCAGUCAGGGAUUGAAGACAACUUGCUCGCUGGUGAAGGCGCGUGCAGCAGAAUACGAGCGUCCCACAAAAUCCCAAAACUGAACUCAUGAUCUGGAAUCAGAUCUUUGCAAGGAAGAAUGAGGCAAGUGAAUGUUUUCUUCUGUUUCUCUUUUUGACUUGUUUCUUCACAGCUGCCUUUUAAAAUUCUCUUUAGUCUGUGCAGUGGGAAGUUCCUAAUCAUCUUUUGAGAGGCUUAUAAAAUAUUAGGAAAAAGUCUGAUGUCCGAAGAUGGUAGGACUCUCAAAUCCACAGUUCUUGAAGCAUACUUACUUAGUUCCAUAAAAGAAAUAAAAAUACAAAACGAUACUUUAGUCUUCCUGUGUGUAAGCGUUACAAUUCUGAAUAUAGCAUUAGAAAUAUUACCUAAAUCAUUCCUUUGGUUUCCAGAAGACUUUACAUCUGGCAGCAACACACAGCACAUUACAGAACGUUCUGGAAAACAUGAAAGUCCAUCAAAGCUUCAUCUUCUGCACAUGGAGGAUCAUGCUGAAGUACAAGAGCGUGAAGUCAGAGCUACAGAGAGCCUGCAAAGCCCAGUGCCAGCGGAAAGAGAGAACAAUUCUCCGGCAAACUCUUGCAUACCCAACAAAAGCAAACUUAAGGAGUAAAAGAAGAAGAGAACACUUUGUGGAUCAAAAUACGAAAGUUGAAAACAGACCAGAUGUUAUUAGCAACAUACUUAAAUGGACUGUUGAACAUAAUGAAAUUAAACUUGUUUUGUUAAAUCUAUUUUUAAACUUAUUUUAAACAUUGUUUUUUGGAAGCGUUUGAUAACUAGCAAAAAAACACCCUGGGUGUGUGAUGCCGCUUUGGCUGCCUGCCACUAACCACACCUAUGAGGAGAAGAGUUUUCUCAGUAUCUGCACAUCCUGUGCUCUGUUGCUACUAAUAUAAAAUUGACUUUUAUGAAGAUUUUUUUAUGUUGCUUGCUCUUAUCCCUAUAAAAAAUAUCAAAAUUGCAGAGAAUCUUUUAAACUAUCACCAAAUGGCUGUUUACAUUAACAUGGCCAUGCCCAGUCACGAAUGAAGAUAACAGGAAUUUACCUGAAGGUAUAAUUUAAAAAAAAACAUAUAAAUUAGGGAAUGUAAAUAAAACCAUUUCUAAAAAUACA